UAUUUGACAGUUGUGGAUGUAGACCUAUC
RNAcentral lists this small RNA (29 nucleotides) under Bombyx mori (domestic silkworm). Its description in RNAcentral is "piRNA piR-bmo-1296022". Lineage: Eukaryota; Metazoa; Arthropoda; Insecta; Lepidoptera; Bombycidae. The record is from RNAcentral.